Non-coding RNA from Pseudomonas putida S11, 942 nucleotides. The record is from Rfam. Lineage: Bacteria; Pseudomonadati; Pseudomonadota; Gammaproteobacteria; Pseudomonadales; Pseudomonadaceae.
ACGAACCGAGUUUGAUCGUGGCUCAGGACGAACGCUGGCGGCGUGCUUAACACAUGCAAGUCGAACGGAAAGGCCUGCAGCUUGCUGCGGGUACUCGAGUGGCGAACGGGUGAGUAACACGUGGGUGAUCUGCCUUGCACUUCGGGAUAAGCUUGGGAAACUGGGUCUAAUACCGGAUAGGACAGCUGUUUAGUGUCAUGUUGUGGAAAGUUUUUUCGGUGCAAGAUGAGCUCGCGGCCUAUCAGCUUGUUGGUGGGGUAAUGGCCUACCAAGGCGACGACCGGUAGCCGGUCUGAGAGGAUGAACGGCCACAUUGGGACUGAGACACGGUUCCAGACUCCUACGGGAGGCAGCAGUGGGGAAUAUUGGACAAUGGGCGAAAGCCUGAUCCAGCCAUGCCGCGUGUGUGAAGAAGGUCUUCGGAUUGUAAAGCACUUUAAGUUGGGAGGAAGGGCAGUAAGUUAAUACCUUGCUGUUUUGACGUUACCGACAGAAUAAGCACCGGCUAACUCUGUGCCAGCAGCCGCGGUAAUACAGAGGGUGCAAGCGUUAAUCGGAAUUACUGGGCGUAAAGCGCGCGUAGGUGGUUCGUUAAGUUGGAUGUGAAAGCCCCGGGCGUCAACCUGGGAACUGCAUCCAAAACUGGCGAGCUAGAGUACGGUAGAGGGUGGUGGAAUUUCCUGUGUAGCGGUGAAAUGCGUAGAUAUAGGAAGGAACACCAGUGGCGAAGGCGACCACCUGGACUGAUACUGACACUGAGGUGCGAAAGCGUGGGGAGCAAACAGGAUUAGAUACCCUGGUAGUCCACGCCGUAAACGAUGUCAACUAGCCGUUGGAAUCCUUGAGAUUUUAGUGGCGCAGCUAACGCAUUAAGUUGACCGCCUGGGGAGUACGGCCGCAAGGUUAAACUCAAAUGAAUUGACGGGGGCCCGCACAAGCGGU